UUCUUUGUCAUUGGCAAUGUCGUAGCCAAUGAGGCCUAUCGGAGGUGCAAUAAUUGCUCAUUGAAAACAAGUAAUAGAAUGUCCCUAACAAUUUUGCUACUGGAAUAUCGACAGAUGUAUGUAUAGAUCACAUUAUU
This 137-nucleotide small nuclear RNA is filed under the name Echinops telfairi (small Madagascar hedgehog). RNAcentral's name for it is "U4 spliceosomal RNA (ENSETEG00000025585.1)". Lineage: Eukaryota; Metazoa; Chordata; Mammalia; Afrosoricida; Tenrecidae. The record is from RNAcentral.